Molecule: ribosomal RNA, 231 nt
Filed under: uncultured bacterium
Lineage: Bacteria
Description: partial 16S ribosomal RNA
Rfam family: Bacterial small subunit ribosomal RNA
Source: RNAcentral
GUUUUCCUACGGGACGCAGCAGCGAGGAAUAUUGGUCAAUGGCCGGAAGGCUGAACCAGCCAUGCCGCGUGGAGUUCAGUGCCCUAUGGGCGUUAAACUUCUUUUGUGCGGGAGCAAUAAUGGUCACGUGUGGCCAGACGAGAGUACCGUACGAAUAAGCAUCGGCUAACUCCGUGCCAGCAGCCGCGGUAAUACGGUGGAUGCAAGCGUUAUCCGGAUUUAUUGGGUUUA